GACGAACGCUGGCGGCGUGCUUAACACAUGCAAGUCGAACGGAAAGGCCCCUUUGGGGGUACUCGAGUGGCGAACGGGUGAGUAACACGUGAGUAACCUGCCCUUGACUUCGGGAUAACUUCAGGAAACUGGGGCUAAUACCGGAUAGGAAUCCUUGCUGCAUGGUGGGGGUUGGAAAGCUUCGGCGGUUUUGGAUGGACUCGCGGCUUAUCAGCUUGUUGGUGGGGUAGUGGCUUACCAAGGCUUUGACGGGUAGCCGGCCUGAGAGGGCGACCGGCCACAUUGGGACUGAGAUACGGCCCAGACUCCGACGGGAGGCAGCAGUGGGGAAUAUUGCACAAUGGGCGGAGGCCUGAUGCAGCAACGCCGCGGGCGGGAUGACGGCCUUCGGGUUGUAAACCGCUUUCAGCAGGGGCGAAGCUUGUGGUGACGGUACCUGCAGAAGAAGCACCGGCUAACUACGUG
This 465-nucleotide ribosomal RNA is filed under the name uncultured bacterium. RNAcentral's name for it is "partial 16S ribosomal RNA". It matches the Rfam family "Bacterial small subunit ribosomal RNA", at positions 28 to 507 of the family's 1533-position model. The record is from RNAcentral.